UACGAGGGGUCCUAGCGUUGUUCGGAAUCAUUGGGCGUAAAGAGCUCGUAGGUGGCUUAGUAAGUCAGGUGUGAAAUCCCAGGGCUCAACCCUGGAAGUGCACUUGAAACUGCAUAGCUUGAGUACGGUAGAGGUGAGUGGAAUUCCUGGUGUAGUGGUGAAAUACGUAGAUACGAUCCAGAACACCGAUUGCGUAGGCAGCUUACUAGGCUGUAACUGACGCUGAGGCACGAAAGCGUGGGGAGCGAACAGG
This 253-nucleotide ribosomal RNA is filed under the name uncultured bacterium. RNAcentral's name for it is "partial 16S ribosomal RNA". It matches the Rfam family "Bacterial small subunit ribosomal RNA", at positions 524 to 776 of the family's 1533-position model. The record is from RNAcentral.